CACACGCGCAUUACGCUCGUCAAGUUCGAAAAGAGAGAGAUGGACAUGAAGGAGGGAAAAGCAUAGCGACGAAGAAGAGCUUUGGCUUGAACCCUAGCGAGAGCGAGAGGAGAGAGAAAGGGUUGGGGUGUAUUGAAUGUACAGCCACAACGAUGGCUUCGCUGGUUCUGUUUGCAAUUGAGUGUGAAUGGGGUUGCCUGUUUUGGAAUGCAAUUAUGGUUUCGAUUCCUCUUUGGCAGUUCCAAACCAUCGAGAUUAUAAGAAUCCCUACCCACCCAAGACAAUAUCUUCGCUGCGUUAGAGAGAGAGAGAAGCACACAAACACAGAGAGAGAGAGAGAGAGAGAGAGUGAGGCAGAGAGAACUCCAACUCCAGGACCAGAGCUCUUUGUGAAUUCUUCUUGCUUCCAUUAUAUUCUUUCUGGGCUGCAGUUUUUGAACUCCUAAGGGGUUUGAGGUGAUCUUGUGAUCUAAAAAUUCCGAAGGCACCCCAAUACCUUUCCGUUUCAAAGAUAUUAAUGUUUGGCAGGAACAUUAAUUAGCCUUUAUGGAACACAGAAGCCACUCCUCUAAUUCCCUGAACCUGGAAGAAAAUAUGGGAACCUUUCAGAGAAACACUUGUCAGAGAACUGAUCCAGGAGCUGAGCAAAGCAUUCUGUUCUC
This is a non-coding RNA of Camellia sinensis, 662 nucleotides long. The record is from RefSeq and is a predicted model, not a curated record. NCBI's taxonomy places the organism in Eukaryota, Viridiplantae, Streptophyta, Magnoliopsida, Ericales, Theaceae.